This is a ribosomal RNA of Phytophthora infestans T30-4, 116 nucleotides long. The record is from Rfam. NCBI's taxonomy places the organism in Eukaryota, Oomycota, Peronosporomycetes, Peronosporales, Peronosporaceae.
GUAGACGGCCAUCUUAGGCUGAAGCACAUAUCGCGUCUGCUCUGUGAAGUUAAGCAGCCUCAGCUCGGGUGAGUACUCGGUGGUGACCACCGGGGAGAGUCCCGGUGCUUACUUUU